Molecule: ribosomal RNA, 208 nt
Filed under: uncultured bacterium
Lineage: Bacteria
Description: partial 16S ribosomal RNA
Rfam family: Bacterial small subunit ribosomal RNA
Source: RNAcentral
UGCGUAGGCGGAUUGGCAGGUCGGAUGUGAAAUCCCCACGGCUUAACCGGGGGCUUGCAUUCGAAACCGCCAAUCUUGAGUACGGGAGAGGAGAGCGGAAUUCCUGGUGUAGCGGUGAAAUGCGUAGAUAUCAGGAAGAACACCAGUGGCGAAGGCGGCUCUCUGGCCCGAUACUGACGCUCAGGCACGAAGGCUAGGGGAGCAAACA